CGAUAUGCUUUGGGGAGCUGUAAGUAAGCUUUGAUCCAGAGAUUUCCGAAUGGGGAAACCCAGCAUGAGUUAUGUCAUGUUAUCGAUAUGUGAAUACAUAGCAUAUCAGAAGGCACACCCGGAGAACUGAAACAUCUUAGUACCCGGAGGAAGAGAAAGAAAAUUCGAUUCCCUUAGUAGCGGCGAGCGAAACGGGAAGAGCCCAAACCAACAAGCUUGCUUGUUGGGGUUGUAGGACACUCUAUACGGAGUUACAAAGGACGACAUUAGACGAAUCAUCUGGAAAGAUGAAUCAAAGAAGGUAAUAAUCCUGUAGUCGAAAAUGUUGUCUCUCUUGAGUGGAUCCUGAGUACGACGGAGCACGUGAAAUUCCGUCGGAAUCUGGGAGGACCAUCUCCUAAGGCUAAAUACUCUCUAGUGACCGAUAGUGAACCAGUACCGUGAGGGAAAGGUGAAAAGCACCCCGGAAGGGGAGUGAAAUAGAACCUGAAACCGUGUGCUUACAAGUAGUCAGAGCCCGUUAAUGGGUGAUGGCGUGCCUUUUGUAGAAUGAACCGGCGAGUUACGAUUUGAUGCAAGGUUAAGCAGUAAAUGUGGAGCCGUAGCGAAAGCGAGUCUGAAUAGGGCGUUUAGUAUUUGGUCGUAGACCCGAAACCAGGUGAUCUACCCUUGGUCAGGUUGAAGUUCAGGUAACACUGAAUGGAGGACCGAACCGACUUACGUUGAAAAGUGAGCGGAUGAACUGAGGGUAGCGGAGAAAUUCCAAUCGAACCUGGAGAUAGCUGGUUCUCUCCGAAAUAGCUUUAGGGCUAGCCUCAAGUGAUGAUUAUUGGAGGUAGAGCACUGUUUGGACGAGGGGCCCCUCUCGGGUUACCGAAUUCAGACAAACUCCGAAUGCCAAUUAAUUUAACUUGGGAGUCAGAACAUGGGUGAUAAGGUCCGUGUUCGAAAGGGAAACAGCCCAGACCACCAGCUAAGGUCCCAAAAUAUAUGUUAAGUGGAAAAGGAUGUGGCGUUGCCCAGACAACUAGGAUGUUGGCUUAGAAGCAGCCAUCAUUUAAAGAGUGCGUAAUAGCUCACUAGUCGAGUGACACUGCGCCGAAAAUGUACCGGGGCUAAACAUAUUACCGAAGCUGUGGAUUGUCCUUUGGACAAUGGUAGGAGAGCGUUCUAAGGGCGUUGAAGCAUGAUCGUAAGGACAUGUGGAGCGCUUAGAAGUGAGAAUGCCGGUGUGAGUAGCGAAAGACGGGUGAGAAUCCCGUCCACCGAUUGACUAAGGUUUCCAGAGGAAGGCUCGUCCGCUCUGGGUUAGUCGGGUCCUAAGCUGAGGCCGACAGGCGUAGGCGAUGGAUAACAGGUUGAUAUUCCUGUACCACCUAUAAUCGUUUUAAUCGAUGGGGGGACGCAGUAGGAUAGGCGAAGCGUGCGAUUGGAUUGCACGUCUAAGCAGUAAGGCUGAGUAUUAGGCAAAUCCGGUACUCGUUAAGGCUGAGCUGUGAUGGGGAGAAGACAUUGUGUCUUCGAGUCGUUGAUUUCACACUGCCGAGAAAAGCCUCUAGAUAGAAAAUAGGUGCCCGUACCGCAAACCGACACAGGUAGUCAAGAUGAGAAUUCUAAGGUGAGCGAGCGAACUCUCGUUAAGGAACUCGGCAAAAUGACCCCGUAACUUCGGGAGAAGGGGUGCUCUUUAGGGUUAACGCCCAGAAGAGCCGCAGUGAAUAGGCCCAAGCGACUGUUUAUCAAAAACACAGGUCUCUGCUAAACCGUAAGGUGAUGUAUAGGGGCUGACGCCUGCCCGGUGCUGGAAGGUUAAGAGGAGUGGUUAGCUUCUGCGAAGCUACGAAUCGAAGCCCCAGUAAACGGCGGCCGUAACUAUAACGGUCCUAAGGUAGCGAAAUUCCUUGUCGGGUAAGUUCCGACCCGCACGAAAGGCGUAACGAUUUGGGCACUGUCUCAACGAGAGACUCGGUGAAAUCAUAGUACCUGUGAAGAUGCAGGUUACCCGCGACAGGACGGGAAGACCCCGUGGAGCUUUACUGUAGCCUGAUAUUGAAAUUCGGCACAGCUUGUACAGGAUAGGUAGGAGCCUUUGAAACGUGAGCGCUAGCUUACGUGGAGGCGCUGGUGGGAUACUACCCUAGCUGUGUUGGCUUUCUAACCCGCACCACUUAUCGUGGUGGGAGACAGUGUCAGGCGGGCAGUUUGACUGGGGCGGUCGCCUCCUAAAAGGUAACGGAGGCGCUCAAAGGUUCCCUCAGAAUGGUUGGAAAUCAUUCAUAGAGUGUAAAGGCAUAAGGGAGCUUGACUGCGAGACCUACAAGUCGAGCAGGGUCGAAAGACGGACUUAGUGAUCCGGUGGUUCCGCAUGGAAGGGCCAUCGCUCAACGGAUAAAAGCUACCCCGGGGAUAACAGGCUUAUCUCCCCCAAGAGUUCACAUCGACGGGGAGGUUUGGCACCUCGAUGUCGGCUCAUCGCAUCCUGGGGCUGUAGUCGGUCCCAAGGGUUGGGCUGUUCGCCCAUUAAAGCGGUACGCGAGCUGGGUUCAGAACGUCGUGAGACAGUUCGGUCCCUAUCCGUCGUGGGCGUAGGAAAUUUGAGAGGAGCUGUCCUUAGUACGAGAGGACCGGGAUGGACAUACCUCUGGUGUACCAGUUGUCGUGCCAACGGCAUAGCUGGGUAGCUAUGUGUGGACGGGAUAAGUGCUGAAAGCAUCUAAGCAUGAAGCCCCCCUCAAGAUGAGAUUUCCCAACUUCGGUUAUAAGAUCCCUCAAAGAUGAUGAGGUUAAUAGGUUCGAGGUGGAAGCAUGGUGACAUGUGGAGCUGACGAAUACUAAUCGAUCGAAGACUUAAUC
Molecule: ribosomal RNA, 2853 nt
Filed under: Staphylococcus aureus
Lineage: Bacteria; Bacillati; Bacillota; Bacilli; Caryophanales; Staphylococcaceae
Description: 23S ribosomal RNA
Rfam family: Bacterial large subunit ribosomal RNA
Source: RNAcentral